Long non-coding RNA from Hypanus sabinus (Atlantic stingray), 1591 nucleotides. RefSeq lists it as uncharacterized. The transcript is spliced from 3 exons. The record is from RefSeq and is a predicted model, not a curated record. NCBI's taxonomy places the organism in Eukaryota, Metazoa, Chordata, Chondrichthyes, Myliobatiformes, Dasyatidae.
UGGCACCCGGGCACAUGUGCCGCCGCCUUCGCCCUCCCAAGGGGAGGAGGUGGACUAUCGACCCAACUUCUAUCGAAUACUUAGUGGAAGACCAAAAGAAUGGCGCAGAAAUUGGAGCCUCUCCUUCCCAGUGUCAGAGAUCUGGGUUUAAUCCUGACCUUGGAUGAAAUAUAUUGAAGAAAAACUGUAUGGAUCAUUUACAAUGCAAAGUAAUCAAACUUACCAGGUAAUUUCAAUACAAUGCUAACUUGGUUCAGAUAGAUGCGGAGUUUUUAAAUUCAUCUACAGAAUGGGAAUGGCUGUAUUUAUUAUCCAAACCUUGGAGAUAUUUUGGGAACAUGUUUUGACCUACUAUAAUCUCAUUGGUGGAGGUGCUUUCAAAUUGUUACUGGGUAAUUGAUUAGUUGAUUUUUAUUGUUCGUCCAUUUUAUCGGACAACGACAGUGAGGGAGGGUUUUUAAAGUUGAAAAGCUCUCUUGACUUCAGAGGUACAAGUAGUCAUCACAACUGGUGUCUUCCUUUCUUGCAGUGGAUGACCAUGACAUUUUCUGAGCCUUGUGGUGCCCUUUGCUCUCCAACGUUGUAGAACUAUCUUCCUGACCUUUGGAUCACACUGUCAAUCUCGUCCAUCCAGUUUUCUGAAGCUGACUUCACAUACUAGGGCAGGCAUGUUUCUGUCUCACUGGGGUAUGAGGCCCACUGGCCACCCUCACCUGGUUGAGUCUGCCUGUUGAAGUGCUGUACCUGGGUGUGGCCACUGUUACAUGCAAACUGCAACUCUGAGCCACAGGUGAAAGCUGCGUAUCCAGUGGGGGUCAAAAGUGAUUCAGCUGCCCUGAAUGGACUUGUAAAUCCUCUUCACCAAUGAUGCUAUCCCUCCCUGGACCCCCCUACCCCCCUUGCUGGAUAAUAAAUUCUAGGAUUUAAAUCCAGCAACGAUGAAAGAGUUUUUUUUACAGCAAAACAUCUGAUAAGGUCCCAGGUAUGCAACUAGUCCAUGUGGGACCUUGUCAUCAGCAGAUUGAAUGCAAAACUGGCUUCCUGACAAGAAGGGUAAUUGACAAUGGAUGUUUUUGUGACCGUUACUACUGGGUUCCUGCAUGGGUCAUUCAGCAGGUCGGGCAGCAUCCGUUGAAAUGAACAGUCAACGUUUUGGGCCAAGACCUUUUGUCAGGACUGAAGAAGGAGGGAGCACGGGCCCUAUAAAGAAGGUGGUGGGGAGGGGAAAGGUGCAGGUGAAAAACCAGAGGAAAGAUCAAGAGGAAGCAGGGAGGGGACAGGCAGGAGAGGUGAAGAAGGAAUGUAAGGGGAAAGCACUAUGGGUAGUAGAGGAAGGCAGAAUCAUGAGAGAGGUGAUAAGCAGCUAGAAGAGGAGGCAGAGUGAAAGUGGGAUGGGGGAAGGGAGAGGGAGGGAAUUACCAAGAAAAUUCGAUGUUCAUAGCGUAACAUUGACUGCUCAUUUCAACAGAUGCUGCCGGACCUGCUGAAUUCAUCCAGCUUGUUUGUAUGUGUUGAUUUGACCACAGUAUCUGCAAUGUACUUUGUGUUGGCUCAGUUCUUGCUCCCUUGUUUUAUUUUAACAUAUAUUGAU